This 253-nucleotide ribosomal RNA is filed under the name uncultured bacterium. RNAcentral's name for it is "partial 16S ribosomal RNA". It matches the Rfam family "Bacterial small subunit ribosomal RNA", at positions 524 to 776 of the family's 1533-position model. The record is from RNAcentral.
UACGGGGGGGGCAAGCGUUGUUCGGAAUUACUGGGCGUAAAGGGCUCGUAGGCGGCCAACUAAGUCAGACGUGAAAUCCCUCGGCUUAACCGGGGAACUGCGUCUGAUACUGGAUGGCUUGAAUCCGGGAGAGGGAUGCGGAAUUCCAGGUGUAGCGGUGAAAUGCGUAGAUAUGCGGAGGAACACCGAUGGCGAAGGCAAUCCCCUGGACCUGUACUGACGCUCAUGCACGAAAGCGUGGGGAGCAAACAGG